GGUGAGUAAUGCAUCGGAACGUGCCCGGUAGUGGGGGAUAGCCCGGCGAAAGCCGGAUUAAUACCGCAUACGCACUGAGGUGGAAAGCGGGGGACCUUCGGGCCUCGCGCUAUCGGAGCGGCCGAUGUCGGAUUAGCUAGUUGGUGGGGUAAAGGCCUACCAAGGCGACGAUCCGUACCUGGUCUGAGAGGACGACCAGGCACACUGGGACUGAGACACGGCCCAGACUCCUACGGGAGGCAGCAGUGGGGAAUUUUGGACAAUGGGCGCAAGCCUGAUCCAGCAAUGCCGCGUGUGUGAAGAAGGCCUUCGGGUUGUAAAGCACUUUUGUCCGGAAAGGAAUCUGCCUGGGUUAAUACCUCGCACAAGCGGUGGAUGACGUGGAUUACUUCGAUGCAACGCGAAUAAGCACCGGCUAACCUACGCUUGCCAGCAUGCCGCGGUAACUUUCCAGUAGAUGGAUUGCGUGCCCGUUAAUGGGAAUUCCUGGGCGUACAGCGUG
This 502-nucleotide ribosomal RNA is filed under the name uncultured bacterium. Its description in RNAcentral is "bacterial SSU rRNA". It matches the Rfam family "Bacterial small subunit ribosomal RNA", at positions 105 to 569 of the family's 1533-position model. The record is from RNAcentral.